RNAcentral lists this ribosomal RNA (491 nucleotides) under uncultured bacterium. RNAcentral's name for it is "partial 16S ribosomal RNA". It matches the Rfam family "Bacterial small subunit ribosomal RNA", at positions 29 to 507 of the family's 1533-position model. The record is from RNAcentral.
GUGAACGCUGGCGGUAGGCCUAACACAUGCAAGUCGAACGGCAGCACAGUAAGAGCUUGCUCUUACGGGUGGCGAGUGGCGGACGGGUGAGGAAUACAUCGGAAUCUACUUUUUCGUGGGGGAUAACGUAGGGAAACUUACGCUAAUACCGCAUACGACCUACGGGUGAAAGCAGGGGAUCUUCGGACCUUGCGCGAUUGAAUGAGCCGAUGUUGGAUUAGCUAGUUGGCGGGGUAAAGGCCCACCAAGGCGACGAUCCGUAGCUGGUCUGAGAGGAUGAUCAGCCACACUGGAACUGAGACACGGUCCAGACUCCUACGGGAGGCAGCAGUGGGGAAUAUUGGACAAUGGGCGCAAGCCUGAUCCAGCCAUACCGCGUGGGUGAAGAAGGCCUUCGGGUUGUAAAGCCCUUUUGUUGGGAAAGAAAAGCAGCAGGUUAAUACCCCGCUGUUCUGACGGUACCCAAAGAAUAAGCACCGGCUAACUUCGUG